CAGCUCCACUCUCUCUCCCCGUCUCUGUGGUUUGUAAGGUAGGUUGCAGUGUGUGUAUAUACACAACAUCAAGAUCAGGGAAAAUGGAAUCAUUAGACAGGCAGCCAGUCAUUACCACUUACACUCUAGUUCCAGGGAGACUUCGAUUAUGAGAAGAGAAAACUCUCAGCUCUGGGGGACAAGGAUUAAAGAUUUCAUAGCUGAUUUCAUUGAGUCUGCGUGAAGAGCCAGUGCUAGGAAUUGGCCCCGCUCCUCUCUCGGAUCUGAAGGCAAGGUAAGGAACCUUCUCUCCUUCUCUUAUUGGCUCGGUGAUUGGAGGAACUCACCAGGUUCCAUUUGUCUUUUGAAAUUCAAAAAGAAAAACAGAAUUGAUCAGGCGAUGUGUAAUAACUCCCAGAAAUAUAUGGUAUCAAAUAAAGGGGGGGUCUGAUUUGGUUUUGUCUUUUUGGGGAGCAGCAUUAAAGGGA
This is a long non-coding RNA of Xenopus tropicalis (tropical clawed frog), 467 nucleotides long. RefSeq lists it as uncharacterized. NCBI's taxonomy places the organism in Eukaryota, Metazoa, Chordata, Amphibia, Anura, Pipidae. The transcript has 3 exons. The record is from RefSeq and is a predicted model, not a curated record.